This 59-nucleotide microRNA precursor is filed under the name Monodelphis domestica (gray short-tailed opossum). RNAcentral's name for it is "microRNA mdo-mir-7262j precursor". Lineage: Eukaryota; Metazoa; Chordata; Mammalia; Didelphimorphia; Didelphidae. The record is from miRBase by way of RNAcentral.
UAAAAGUCUUAGUGCGUUUUAAGCUAUUUUAAGGGCUUAAAAUAAACUAAGACUUUUGG